Molecule: ribosomal RNA, 496 nt
Filed under: uncultured bacterium
Lineage: Bacteria
Description: partial 16S ribosomal RNA
Rfam family: Bacterial small subunit ribosomal RNA
Source: RNAcentral
GAUGAACGCUGGCGGCGUGCCUAAUACAUGCAAGUCGAGCGAACAGACGAGGAGCUUGCUCCUCUGACGUUAGCGGCGGACGGGUGAGUAACACGUGGAUAACCUACCUAUAAGACUGGGAUAACUUCGGGAAACCGGAGCUAAUACCGGAUAAUAUAUUGAACCGCAUGGUUCAAUAGUGAAAGACGGUUUUGCUGUCACUUAUAGAUGGAUCCGCGCCGCAUUAGCUAGUUGGUAAGGUAACGGCUUACCAAGGCAACGAUGCGUAGCCGACCUGAGAGGGUGAUCGGCCACACUGGAACUGAGACACGGUCCAGACUCCUACGGGAGGCAGCAGUAGGGAAUCUUCCGCAAUGGGCGAAAGCCUGACGGGGCAACGCCGCGUGAGUGAUGAAGGUCUUCGGAUCGUAAAACUCUGUUAUUAGGGAAGAACAAAUGUGUAAGUAACUAUGCACGUCUUGACGGUACCUAAUCAGAAAGCCACGGCUAACUACGU